AUACAGAGGGUGCAAGCGUUACUCGGAAUCACUGGGCGUAAAGCGCGCGCAGGCGGCUUGAUAAGUUGGAUGUGAAAGCCUACGGCUCAACCGUAGAACUGCAUCCAAAACUGUCAAGCUAGAGUCCGCGAGGGGAAGAUGGAAUUAGUUGUGUAGGGGUAAAAUCCGUAGAGAUAACUAGGAAUACCAAAAGCGAAGGCGAUCUUCUGGAACAGUACUGACGCUGAGGCGCGAAAGCGUGGGGAGCAAACAGGAUUAGAAACCCCAGUAGUCC
Molecule: ribosomal RNA, 274 nt
Filed under: uncultured bacterium
Lineage: Bacteria
Description: partial 16S ribosomal RNA
Rfam family: Bacterial small subunit ribosomal RNA
Source: RNAcentral